AGGAGAUAACUCCCCCAUACAAAUAAAAUUUAGCACGUUAGGAACAGGAGGAGAACCUCAUCCUAACAUGAGCAAAGUUGAAGGCCCAAUUUCUUAAAGACCGGAUGGGGGAGAGGCCCUUGCAACAGCCCUUAUGUGCCCCCACAGCCUUGUUAGGAACAAGAGGAGAACCUUGUCCUAACAUGAGCAAAGUCGAAGGUCUGAUUUCUUAAAGACC
RNAcentral lists this long non-coding RNA (217 nucleotides) under Elaeis guineensis (African oil palm). RNAcentral's name for it is "long non-coding RNA (EGUI_LNC041912)". The record is from RNAcentral. Lineage: Eukaryota; Viridiplantae; Streptophyta; Magnoliopsida; Arecales; Arecaceae.